GCUAACCUACGGGGCGCAGCAGUGAGGAAUAUUGGUCAAUGGGCGAGAGCCUGAACCAGCCAAGUCGCGUGAGGGAGGACGGCCCUACGGGUUGUAAACCUCUUUUGCCGGGGGACAAACGGCGGCACGCGUGUCGUCCUGAGGGUACCCGGAGAAUAAGCAUCGGCUAACUCCGUGCCAGCAGCCGCGGUAAUACGGAGGAUGCGAGCGUUAUCCGGAUUUAUUGGGUUUAAAGGGUGCGUAGGCGGUUUUUUAAGUUAGUGGUUAAACGUCGGGGCUUCACCUUGAUUUGCCAU
Molecule: ribosomal RNA, 296 nt
Filed under: uncultured bacterium
Lineage: Bacteria
Description: partial 16S ribosomal RNA
Rfam family: Bacterial small subunit ribosomal RNA
Source: RNAcentral